GAGUAAUGCCUAGGAAUCUGCCUGGUAGUGGGGGAUAACGUCCGGAAACGGGCGCUAAUACCGCAUACGUCCUGAGGGAGAAAGUGGGGGAUCUUCGGACCUCACGCUAUCAGAUGAGCCUAGGUCGGAUUAGCUAGUUGGUGGGGUAAAGGCCUACCAAGGCGACGAUCCGUAACUGGUCUGAGAGGAUGAUCAGUCACACUGGAACUGAGACACGGUCCAGACUCCUACGGGAGGCAGCAGUGGGGAAUAUUGGACAAUGGGCGAAAGCCUGAUCCAGCCAUGCCGCGUGUGUGAAGAAGGUCUUCGGAUUGUAAAGCACUUUAAGUUGGGAGGAAGGGCAGUAAGUUAAUACCUUGCUGUUUUGACGUUACCAACAGAAUAAGCACCGGCUAACUUCGUGCCAGCAGCCGCGGUAAUACGAAGGGUGCAAGCGUUAAUCGGAAUUACUGGGCGUAAAGCGCGCGUAGGUGGUUCAGCAAGUUGGAUGUGAAAUCCCCGGGCUCAACCUGGGAACUGCAUCCA
Molecule: ribosomal RNA, 525 nt
Filed under: Pseudomonas aeruginosa
Lineage: Bacteria; Pseudomonadati; Pseudomonadota; Gammaproteobacteria; Pseudomonadales; Pseudomonadaceae
Description: bacterial SSU rRNA
Rfam family: Bacterial small subunit ribosomal RNA
Source: RNAcentral